RNAcentral lists this small RNA (2867 nucleotides) under Pan troglodytes (chimpanzee). Its description in RNAcentral is "retained intron". The record is from RNAcentral. Lineage: Eukaryota; Metazoa; Chordata; Mammalia; Primates; Hominidae.
AAUCUCUCCCCUCGGUGACCUUCUCUGACUGACCCUCGUAUGCCCCCUUAUAAGACCCUUGGGUUAUCACCUGGGUCAUCCAGGGUCGCCUCCCCAUCCCAGGAUCCUUAACUUCAUCUCAGCUGCAGCGUCCCUGUUGUCCUGUAAGGGAACAUUCACGGGCCUUGGCGAUUGGAUGUAGGUGCCUUUGGGGCUGUGAUUCAGCCAAACCCACCCCUUGGUGACUUCUGGGUCAGAAUCCAGGGGAGAGUUGGGUCCUGAGGUUUGGGGCCUGUCCUCCUCACUUGCUGUGGUUCACACCUGGACUCUGGGGCUCAGGCCUGCCUUCCCCCUUUCUCCCUCCUGGGCGCAGGGCUGCGCUGGCAGGGCUGUCGCUCAGCCUGAUGGAACGCCUGGCUGAGGAGUACGGCGCGAGGGUGGUGCGGACACUGACGGUGCAGUACCGCAUGCACCAGGCUAUCAUGCGCUGGGCCUCGGACACCAUGUACCUUGGGCAGCUCACAGCCCACUCUUCCGUGGCAGGGCACCUCCUGAGGGACCUCCCAGGUGUGGCUGCCACAGAAGAGACGGGUGUGCCCCUGCUCCUGGUGGACACCGCCGGCUGCGGGCUGUUUGAGCUGGAGGAGGAGGACGAACAGUCGAAAGGGAACCCUGGCGAAGUCCGCCUCGUCAGUUUGCACAUCCAGGCUCUGGUGGACGCUGGUGUUCCAGCCCGUGACAUUGCCGUGGUCUCGCCAUACAACCUCCAGGUGAAGUUGGUUUUCUUGCUGAGGACCGGAGGAUCAACGUGGCUGUCACCCGUGCCCGACGCCACGUGGCGGUCAUCUGUGACUCCCGUACUGUCAACAACCAUGCAUUUUUGAAGACCCUGGUGGAGUAUUUCACACAGCAUGGGGAAGUACGCACGGCCUUUGAGUAUCUUGACGAUAUUGUCCCAGAAAACUAUUCCCAUGAGAGCUCCCAGGGUUCCAGCCACGCUGCCACCAAGCCCCAGGGACCUGCUACGUCCACCAGGACCGGAAGCCAGCGGCAGGAGGGAGGCCAGGAGGCCACAGCACCUGCCAGACAGGGCCGGAAGAAGCCGGCUGGGAAGUCUCUGGCCUCUGAAGCCCCAUCUCAGCCCAGCCUCAACGGAGGCAGCCCAGAGGGAGUGGAGAGCCAAGAUGGCGUGGACCACUUCCGGGCCAUGAUAGUGGAGUUCAUGGCCAGCAAGAAGAUGCAGUUGGAGUUUCCUCCUUCCCUCAAUUCCCACGACAGGCUGCGGGUCCACCAAAUAGCCGAGGAGCACGGGCUGAGGCACGACAGUUCCGGGGAAGGGAAGAGGAGGUUCAUCACUGUGAGCAAGAGGGCCCCGCCGGCCCUGCGACCCCGAGCAGCCCUGGGACCCCCAGCAGGGACCGGUGGCCCAGCCCCUCUCCAGCCAGUGCCCGCUAGCCCUGCGCAGACGGAGCAGCCUCCGAGGGAGCAGCGUGGCCCAGACCAGCCUGAUCUGAGGACGCUGCACCUGGAGAGACUGCAGAGAGUCAGAAACGCGCAGAGGCAGCCCGCCAGCAAGGAGCAGCAGGCCUCAGGGCAGCAGAAACUUCCAGAAAAGAAAAAGAAAAAAGAAGCCAAAGGACAUCCGGCCACAGCUCUGCCCACGGAGGAGGACUUUGAGGCCCUGGUUUCUGCCGCCGUUAAGGCUGAUAACACCUGCGGCUUUGCCAAGUGCACAGCCGGCGUCACAACCCUGGGCCAGUUCUGCGAGCUCUGCAGCCACCGCUACUGCCUCAGCCACCACCUGCCCGAGAUCCAUGGCUGCGGUGAGAGGGCUCGCGCCCAUGCCCGGCAGAGAAUCAGCCGGGAAGGGGUCCUCUAUGCCGGCAGCGGGACCAAGGACAGAUCCCUGGACCCAGCCAAGAGGGCCCAGCUGCAGAGGAGGCUGGAUAAGAAGCUGAGCGAGCUCAGCAACCAGAGGACCAGCCGGAGGAAGGAGAGGGGGACGUGACUGGCCGCAUCCUCGCACGCCCCGCGGAGCUCUCUCCAUGGUAGCCCAGGGCGCCGCCAGACCAUGCUCCGCCUCCACCAGGGCCACAGAGGAGCGGAGGGGCCUAUGGGGGAGGAGUGGAGGGCCCUGUGGGGGAAGGUUGGGUUUUUGGACCCCAGGGAUGAGCUUUUCCGAUGUCACAAUGUGGAGGAAAGCACCUGGGGGACAACAGUGCUCGUGCAGGUGGGGCUCGGGAAAUGCACGUCCCUUCCCCUCACUCCCCGCCAAAACCCACAUCCCAGCCUCUGGAUCCUGGGGAAGGUUCCCGUCCCUGGAGAAUAUCCAGGGCCUCAAACUUGAAGUCACUCCUCCAAUGUCUGGGACUUGCCAGCUCAGCCCAUUAGGAUGAGGGUGCUGAGAGGAAACAGGAAACAAGACUCUGCGAAUGGCGCUCAGGCAGGGAGCAGGGAGUGGCGUUUGGCUUGCACGUUCCCAUGCGGCCAGAUGCUGGGGCCACUUUCCUUCUGUCUGCUGUUUGCUGGUGACUGCAGUGUUCCCCCUCCUCCUCACCACGGGGCUCCUGUGAGUCUAGAGGGCACCUCUUUCUGGCCUGUGCACCUCUCUCUGGCUUAUAAAGGCGCCUGGCCUGUGCCAUCCCCUCCUUGUUGCGCCUCACCGUGGGGACCAGGUGAGCCGGCUCUCCCAUGUGGCUGUCCCGGGAAAGCUGCCCCACAGCCUCAGCAUCUUCAGCACUUACCGAUCCAGAGCCUCCCGGCCUUCUCUGGUGCCCUGUACCAACUCUUCUAUUUAAGAGAACCUCAGAUGAUGUACCUGAGCCUCAGGGUUUUGUUUCAGAGGGAUAUAAAUUAUUUAAAAAUUAAAUGAAAACGUUGCACACUGC